UACAUAAACUAGGUGAUGGAGGAAAUUGAUUUAGCAGCUUUUCUACAUAAACUAGGUGAUGGAGGACAUUGAUUUAGCAGCUUUUCUACAUAAACUAGGUGAUGGAGGAAAUUGAUUUAGCAGCUUUUCUACAUAAACUAGGUGAUGGAGGAAAUUGAUUUAGCAGCUUUUCUACAUAAACUAGGUGAUGGAGGAAAUUGAUUUAGCAGCUUUUCUACAUAAACUAGGUGAUGGAGGAAAUUGAUUUAGCAGCUUUUCUACAUAAACUAGGUGAUGGAGGAAAUUGAUUUAGCAGCUUUUCUACAUAAACUAGGUGAUGGAGGAAAUUGAUUUAGCAGCUUUUCUACAUAAACUAGGUGAUGGAGGAAAUUGAUUUAGCAGCUUUUCUACAUAAACUAGGUGAUGGAGGAAAUUGAUUUAGCAGCUUUUCUACAUAAACUAGGUGAUGGAGGAAAUUGAUUUAGCAGCUUUUCUACAUAAACUAGGUGAUGGAGGACAUUGAUUUAGCAGCUUUUCUACAUAAACUAGGUGAUGGAGGACAUUGAUUUAGCAGCUUUUCUACAUAAACUAGGUGAUGGAGGACAUUGAUUUAGCAGCUUUUCUACAUAAACUAGGUGAUGGAGGACAUUGAUUUAGCAGCUUUUCUACAUAAACUAGGUGAUGGAGGACAUUGAUUUAGCAGCUUUUCUACAUAAACUAGGUGAUGGAGGAAAUUGAUUUAGCAGCUUUUCUACAUAAACUAGGUGAUGGAGGAAAUUGAUUUAGCAGCUUUUCUACAUAAACUAGGUGAUGGAGGACAUUGAUUUAGCAGCUUUUCUACAUAAACUAGGUGAUGGAGGACAUUGAUUUAGCAGCUUUUCUACAUAAACUAGGUGAUGGAGGACAUUGAUUUAGCAGCUUUUCUACAUAAACUAGGUGAUGGAGGAAAUUGAUUUAGCAGCUUUUCUACAUAAACUAGGUGAUGGAGGACAUUGAUUUAGCAGCUUUUCUACAUAAACUAGGUGAUGGAGGAAAUUGAUUUAGCAGCUUUUCUACAUAAACUAGGUGAUGGAGGAAAUUGAUUUAGCAGCUUUUCUACAUAAACUAGGUGAUGGAGGACAUUGAUUUAGCAGCUUUUCUACAUAAACUAGGUGAUGGAGGAAAUUGAUUUAGCAGCUUUUCUACAUAAACUAGGUGAUGGAGGACAUUGAUUUAGCAGCUUUUCUACAUAAACUAGGUGAUGGAGGAAAUUGAUUUAGCAGCUUUUCUACAUAAACUAGGUGAUGGAGGACAUUGAUUUAGCAGCUUUUCUACAUAAACUAGGUGAUGGAGGACAUUGAUUUAGCAGCUUUUCUACAUAAACUAGGUGAUGGAGGAAAUUGAUUUAGCAGCUUUUCUACAUAAACUAGGUGAUGGAGGACAUUGAUUUAGCAGCUUUUCUACAUAAACUAGGUGAUGGAGGAAAUUGAUUUAGCAGCUUUUCUACAUAAACUAGGUGAUGGAGGACAUUGAUUUAGCAGCUUUUCUACAUAAACUAGGUGAUGGAGGAAAUUGAUUUAGCAGCUUUUCUACAUAAACUAGGUGAUGGAGGACAUUGAUUUAGCAGCUUUUCUACAUAAACUAGGUGAUGGAGGAAAUUGAUUUAGCAGCUUUUCUACAUAAACUAGGUGAUGGAGGACAUUGAUUUAGCAGCUUUUCUACAUAAACUAGGUGAUGGAGGAAAUUGAUUUAGCAGCUUUUCUACAUAAACUAGGUGAUGGAGGACAUUGAUUUAGCAGCUUUUCUACAUAAACUAGGUGAUGGAGGAAAUUGAUUUAGCAGCUUUUCUACAUAAACUAGGUGAUGGAGGAAAUUGAUUUAGCAGCUUUUCUACAUAAACUAGGUGAUGGAGGAAAUUGAUUUAGCAGUUUCUUUACGUAAACUCUGUGGAAGAAUUUGGGGGAAAGAUCUUCAAGUUGAGAAAUAGCUUGAGUCAUGGGACAAUAUUACAGUACAUUUACCAUCUAAUGCACUCUUGAUAACUAU
Oncorhynchus keta (chum salmon) is the source of this 2004-nucleotide long non-coding RNA. RefSeq lists it as uncharacterized. The record is from RefSeq and is a predicted model, not a curated record. NCBI's taxonomy places the organism in Eukaryota, Metazoa, Chordata, Actinopteri, Salmoniformes, Salmonidae. The transcript is spliced from 3 exons.